Molecule: ribosomal RNA, 253 nt
Filed under: uncultured bacterium
Lineage: Bacteria
Description: partial 16S ribosomal RNA
Rfam family: Bacterial small subunit ribosomal RNA
Source: RNAcentral
UACGGAGGGUGCAAGCGUUAAUCGGAAUUACUGGGCGUAAAGCGCACGCAGGUGGCUGAGUCAGUCGAUUGUGAAAGCCCUGGGCUUAACCUGGGAAUUGCAGUCGAUACUACUCAGCUAGAGUAUGGGAGAGGGUAGUGGAAUUCCCGGUGUAGCGGUGAAAUGCGUAGAUAUCGGGAGGAACAUCAGUGGCGAAGGCGGCUACCUGGCCCAAUACCGACACUCAGGUGCGACAGCGUGGGGAGCAAACAGG